RNAcentral lists this ribosomal RNA (431 nucleotides) under uncultured bacterium. Its description in RNAcentral is "partial 16S ribosomal RNA". It matches the Rfam family "Bacterial small subunit ribosomal RNA", at positions 29 to 507 of the family's 1533-position model. The record is from RNAcentral.
AACGAACGCUGGCGGCAGGCUUAACACAUGCAAGUCGAGCGCCCCGACAGGGGAGCCGCAGACGGGUGAGUAACGCGUGGGAACGGACUUUUUGGUUCGGAACAACUCCGGGAAACUGGAGCUAAUACGGGAUAAGCCCUAACGGGGAAAGAUUUAUCGCCGAAAGAUCGGACCGCGUGUGAUUAGAUAGUUGGGGAGUUAACGGCGCACCAAGGCGAGGAUCAGUAUCUGGGCAGUGAGGAUGAUCACCGACACUGGGGGUGAGCCGCGGUCGGGAAUAUUGCGCGAGGCAGGAAUGGGUGAUACAGGCAAACCGCGUGAAUGCUGAACCAGUCAUGCUGCGUGAGUGAUGAAGGCCUUAGGGAAGUACAGCUCUUUUGUCCGGGAAGAUUAUGACUGUACCGGAAGAAUAAGCCCCGGCUAACUUCGUG